AGUGAGCAACAUCCCUACCUAGUGGAUGCUCUUUACAGAGGAACUGGUGGCAACUGUGCUUGCCCUUUACUACGUCAGUAUCCAAUCACACAAGUCUUUCCUUGUUUGCAGUGACUCCAUGAGACACCCACGGGCUAUAGUCCACUAUUAUUCCCAGCAACUGCAAGGCCUUCAUGGUAAUGGAAAGAGCAUAGGAUCUUAAGGAAUGAACACAUGCAUCAGUCUGCUGAAGCUACCAGGAAGGGUGCUCUGGAAAUAAAUGUAUCAAGAUCCAAAAUGUGGAUAACAUAAUGUUGCCAACUCUUAGUGUGAUGGAACCGUGAAUGGAGUGUCAAGGCCUGGAGGUAACUCAUUUUGCAGACAGGAUGACGGCACUGGAACACCAUUGGACCAAGUGCAUUAAACUACAAGGAGACUACAUUGAAAAAUAAAAAAAUGUUUCAGUGAUCUCACAAUGCAAAGUGCCUGGGGUAACAUAAACUUGCUGGAGUAGACAAACAAUAGAAACACAAGGAAAAUCUGCACUUCAUACAGUUAGCCAUCUUCUGCUGAAGGCUUGUGUGACUCCAACGUACACCAUUGAAGAGGAGAUAGAAGUACUAUU
Molecule: long non-coding RNA, 604 nt
Organism: Schistocerca americana (American grasshopper)
Lineage: Eukaryota; Metazoa; Arthropoda; Insecta; Orthoptera; Acrididae
Exons: 3
Source: RefSeq, a predicted model, not a curated record